This is a long non-coding RNA of Stylophora pistillata, 713 nucleotides long. The record is from RefSeq and is a predicted model, not a curated record. NCBI's taxonomy places the organism in Eukaryota, Metazoa, Cnidaria, Anthozoa, Scleractinia, Pocilloporidae.
CUUUUCCAGGCUUUAGAUUCUUAAAAGGGUUACAAAUUCUGUCGGUUCAAUAUCCAAUGGUAGGUUUAAAGGGUGCUUUUUUUGUGUGGAAAGUGUACGAAAAGGAAACCUAUUCUAUAGUGGAUAAAAUGACGGGAAUCUUUGCAUCUAGAACUUCAUAGAGCACCCCCUCCCCCGGUUUUAAACCACAGAGAGCAGCUAGUCUCCAGCAGCAUUGCAUCCUAACCACUUUUUUCCCUCAAACAUUUAACAUUGUCAACCCAGCCAGACCCUGUGGAAGUUCUUAUACACAAGAAGAGAAUACUCGUUACUAGUGUUUCACUUCAACAAAGGCUAGAGAGCCUUUCACUGGGAAAGCCGUUGAAAACAAGAGGGGAAGUUCACUUCGAUUAAGACAAGAAAAGCUGCAAAGACUUGGUUGCUGAGAUUUUCUAUGAUUGCUCACUGGGCUUUGACCAGGUUGGUCACAGUUUCAAGAUUGUUUGAAAGCACGUUUAUUAACUAUGGUUUAUCAGAUAAAAAAGUGUAUUAUUCAUAGCGUUCAUUAUACAAUUCGGAACCUGGACACGUUACUUUUUCAGCAUUCAGAAAACUAUAUUGAGUUAUUUACAGUGCCCGAAUAUUCUAUCGCCUGACAGGGGUGAAAAUUUUGAAAUAUAUCUUAUUAACCAAGCGCGACGGCCGUACUGGGAGAAUAUCGGCCCGAGGUCUUG